MicroRNA precursor from Gossypium arboreum, 123 nucleotides. It matches the Rfam family "MIR7504 microRNA precursor family". Lineage: Eukaryota; Viridiplantae; Streptophyta; Magnoliopsida; Malvales; Malvaceae. The record is from Rfam.
AAUAGUUUUAUGUCACAUCAGUUCUCUUAUCCUGAAUUUUAGAAUUUUUAUCUUGAAAAAAAUCAAAUCCAAAUUAAAAUCCUAAAAUUCAGGAUAAGAAUACUGAUGUGGCAUAAAACUAUU